ACGGGUGAGUAACGCGUAGGAAUCUACCCUAAAGAGGGGGACAACCCGAGGAAACUCGGGCUAAUACCGCAUAAUCUCGAAAGAGCAAAGCUGGGGCAACCUGGCACUUUAGGAGGAGCCUGCGUCCGAUUAGCUAGUUGGUGAGGUAAAAGCUCACCAAGGCGAUGAUCGGUAGUUGGUCUGAGAGGAUGAUCAGCCACACUGGGACUGAGACACGGCCCAGACUCCUACGGGAGGCAGCAGUGGGGAAUAUUGGACAAUGGGGGCAACCCUGAUCCAGCAAUGCCGCGUGUGUGAAGAAGGCCUUCGGGUUGUAAAGCACUUUAGUUGGGGAAGAAGGUUAGUUGUUUAAGAGAUGAUUAAUUUGACGGUACCCAAAGAAUAAGCACCGGCUAACUCUGUGCCAGCAGCCGCGGUAAUACAGAGGGUGCAAGCGUUAAUCGGAGUUACUGGGCGUAAAGGGCGCGUAGGCGGUUAUUUAAGUUUGAUGUGAAAUCCCUGGGCUUAACCUAGGAACUGCAUUGGAUACUGGAUAACUGGAGUACUGUAGAGGGUAGUGGAAUUUCCGGU
This 570-nucleotide ribosomal RNA is filed under the name uncultured bacterium. RNAcentral describes it as "bacterial SSU rRNA". It matches the Rfam family "Bacterial small subunit ribosomal RNA", at positions 102 to 674 of the family's 1533-position model. The record is from RNAcentral.